GGCCGCCGGUGCCUCGUAACAGAGGAGAAUAGGGAAUGCGGUGAAGAUCCGCAGCAGCCCCCACUACUGUAACCCGGUACGAAAUCCCGAAAAAUGGUCAUUGGCCGGUCUUCCUUUUUUAUCGGGAAGGCGAUACGGCUGAGAAGGCGAGGGAGAGUAGGAGAAACGGGUAAGCCAGGAGACCUGCCGGUGAGUUUU
This 198-nucleotide non-coding RNA is filed under the name bovine gut metagenome. The record is from RNAcentral.